This 497-nucleotide ribosomal RNA is filed under the name uncultured bacterium. RNAcentral describes it as "partial 16S ribosomal RNA". It matches the Rfam family "Bacterial small subunit ribosomal RNA", at positions 28 to 507 of the family's 1533-position model. The record is from RNAcentral.
GAUGAACGCUGGCGGCGUGCCUAAUACAUGCCAGUCGAGCGAACAGACGAGGAGCUUGCUCCUCUGACGUUAGCGGCGGACGGGUGAGUAACACGUGGAUAACCUACCUAUAAGACUGGGAUAACUUCGGGAAACCGGAGCUAAUACCGGAUAACAUGUUGAACCGCAUGGUUCAACAGUGAAAGACGGUCUUGCUGUCACUUAUAGAUGGAUCCGCGCCGCAUUAGCUAGUUGGUAAGGUAACGGCUUACCAAGGCAACGAUGCGUAGCCGACCUGAGAGGGUGAUCGGCCACACUGGAACUGAGACACGGUCCAGACUCCUACGGGAGGCGGCAGUAGGGAAUCUUCCGCAAUGGGCGAAAGCCUGACGGAGCAACGCCGCGUGAGUGACGAAGGUCUUCGGAUCGUAAAACUCUGUUAUUAGGGAAGAACAAAUGUGUAAGUAACUAUGCACGUCUUGACGGUACCUAAUCAGAAAGCCACGGCUAACUACGUG